Molecule: unclassified non-coding RNA, 210 nt
Filed under: fungal sp.
Lineage: Eukaryota; Fungi
Description: partial internal transcribed spacer region
Rfam family: Eukaryotic small subunit ribosomal RNA (bases 1-46)
Source: RNAcentral
AAGUCGUAACAAGGUUUCCGUAGGUGAACCUAUGGAAGGAUCAUUUACACGUAUCCAACGUUAAACCCCCCUGUUUAGCGUGCUCUUGUGUCCUGUAUAGGGACACCGGGCUCACGCCCCCUAAUAACUUAUCUUAAGGCACCACUCCACUGCAAGUGCGCCGGAGCUGGUGAAAACGAACAACUGUUAACAAUGGAUAUCUUGGUUCUC